RNAcentral lists this ribosomal RNA (454 nucleotides) under uncultured bacterium. RNAcentral describes it as "partial 16S ribosomal RNA". It matches the Rfam family "Bacterial small subunit ribosomal RNA", at positions 28 to 507 of the family's 1533-position model. The record is from RNAcentral.
GAUGAACGCUGACAGAAUGCUUAACACAUGCAAGUCAACUUGAACUUCGGUUUGGGUGGCGGACGGGUGAGUAACGCGUAAAGAACUUGCCUCACAGAUAGGGACAACAUUUGGAAACGAAUGCUAAUACCUGAUAUUAUGAUUAUAUGGCAUCGUAUAAUUAUGAAAGCUAUAUGCGCUGUGAGAGAGCUUUGCGUCCCAUUAGCUAGUUGGAGAGGUAACGGCUCACCAAGGCGAUGAUGGGUAGCCGGCCUGAGAGGGUGAUCGGCCACAAGGGGACUGAGACACGGCCCUUACUCCUACGGGAGGCAGCAGUGGGGAAUAUUGGACAAUGGACCAAGAGUCUGAUCCAGCAAUUCUGUGUGCACGAUGAAGUUUUUCGGAAUGUAAAGUGCUUUCAGUUGGGAAGAAAAAAAUGACGGUACCAACAGAAGAAGUGACGGCUAAAUACAUG